GGAAUAACAGUAUGGCUUUACACAUGGAAGGCCAACGAAGAACCUUGCAUGUGAUCGCCCAACCUUUUAGAAACAGUAGUCGCAUAUCCUUUAAAUCACACUCGACCAAUUUAAAAAGAGGAAGGAUGCAUUAGAAAAUAUAUUCUUAAAGAUACAAGAUGAGACGGUCACAAAUAGGAUGCUUUUGGUCAUGUGUCUGCCUUAUCAAUAUUGACUUGUAGCACAACAAAAUCAAGAAGAGUGAAAAGUAGAAGCAGUAGGAGUAAAAGGCUUAACAUGUGAUUUUACUGUUUUAUACAUUAUAAGAAACAGUUUGAAAUACAAAAAUAGAAACACGCCUGCUGGUGGGAUUCUUGUCACUUAUCCAUCUUUCAUCGAUUGCCGGGCGAAGUGGUUAUCAAAUACCCUACAAAAGGUUUCAAUGGUUUAAUGUUUUCGAAGUAGAACCAUAGUUUAAAUGGAAUGUGAAUUACUCUACCAAACUUAACCAAGGCACAGACAUCAUGGCCAAGUUCUUCCCUGAAGUAUAAUAUCAAUUCGAAUAAACACCAUUCAGUCAUCAAUUCGAAUUGAGGAACUAUUUGGGCAACCACAGUUGCAUUACAAUACAGAAUGCCUGUCAUUCCAUUAAUUGGUGUCUUAUAAUAUCUAAUAUCAUUUGUAUUAAAUCUAAGCAGGUUAAUUAAUCAUUCGAUAAGAUUACUUGGCUAACUCACCGGAAAAUUUAAAAAAAAUUCCGAUAUAAUUAUUAAAUCCUUCUUAACCAACAGGCAUACUGUUCAGCAAAUAAAACAAAAACAAGAAUAAAAAACGCAACAAAAAACAAAACAAGAACCAAACAAACCGGAUCCAUCCGUUAAAGAAACUCAACUUCCGAUGAGAUACCACCAGAUUCUACAGCCCCCGCUAUAUACAUUUCCCUUCUUUCACCAACUUAUAUGUUUAAUGGCUCGAAAAGAAUAAAGAAAAAUCUUUAAGCCUUUAA
This is a long non-coding RNA of Octopus bimaculoides (California two-spot octopus), 985 nucleotides long. NCBI's taxonomy places the organism in Eukaryota, Metazoa, Mollusca, Cephalopoda, Octopoda, Octopodidae. The record is from RefSeq and is a predicted model, not a curated record.